This 354-nucleotide transfer-messenger RNA is filed under the name Mollicutes bacterium. It matches the Rfam family "transfer-messenger RNA". From Rfam's summary of the family: Bacterial tmRNA, also known as 10Sa RNA or SsrA, is named for its dual tRNA and mRNA-like properties. Its role is to liberate the mRNA from a stalled ribosome. The record is from RNAcentral. Lineage: Bacteria; Bacillati; Mycoplasmatota; Mollicutes.
GGGGCCGAAUUUUGGUUUCGACAGAAUAUUAAAGAUAUUAUUUGCAAUUGGUUUGCUGUACCUAAAGCAGCACAAUAAAAAUAAAUAACAAUAAUCAAAGAACUGCUCUAGCAUUUGCUUAAUUAAAAGCUUGCGAGCCCUGUUAUAUUACUAGUCUCACAGAGUAAUAAUAACGGGUCAUAUUUAGUGAGAUAUAUUUAUAAAGUUGCUUUGCUUUAUAAAUGAAUAUUUAAAGCUUAGCCAGUAUUUUUUUGAUAGAUUCUUAAAUACCGGUGAAAUAACAAUCUAUCUAAAUUUGUAGACGAUAAUAUUUUUAUAUUUUGGACAGCAGUUCAAAUCUGCUCGGCUCCACCA